This 2923-nucleotide ribosomal RNA is filed under the name Klebsiella pneumoniae. RNAcentral describes it as "bacterial LSU rRNA". It matches the Rfam family "Bacterial large subunit ribosomal RNA". The record is from RNAcentral. Lineage: Bacteria; Pseudomonadati; Pseudomonadota; Gammaproteobacteria; Enterobacterales; Enterobacteriaceae.
GGGUUGUGAGGUUAAGCGACUAAGCGUACACGGUGGAUGCCCUGGCAGUCAGAGGCGAUGAAGGACGUGCUAAUCUGCGAAAAGCGUCGGUAAGGUGAUAUGAACCGUUAUAACCGGCGAUGUCCGAAUGGGGAAACCCAGUGUGAUUCGUCACACUAUCGUUAACUGAAUACAUAGGUUAACGAGGCGAACCGGGGGAACUGAAACAUCUAAGUACCCCGAGGAAAAGAAAUCAACCGAGAUUCCCCCAGUAGCGGCGAGCGAACGGGGAGCAGCCCAGAGUCUGAAUCAGCUUGUGUGUUAGUGGAACGGUCUGGAAAGUCCGACGGUACAGGGUGAUAGUCCCGUACACCAAAAUGCACAGGUUGUGAACUCGAAGAGUAGGGCGGGACACGUGGUAUCCUGUCUGAAUAUGGGGGGACCAUCCUCCAAGGCUAAAUACUCCUGACUGACCGAUAGUGAACCAGUACCGUGAGGGAAAGGCGAAAAGAACCCCGGCGAGGGGAGUGAAAAAGAACCUGAAACCGUGUACGUACAAGCAGUGGGAGCACCUUCGGGUGUGACUGCGUACCUUUUGUAUAAUGGGUCAGCGACUUAUAUUCUGUAGCAAGGUUAACCGUAUAGGGGAGCCGCAGGGAAACCGAGUCUUAACUGGGCGUUAAGUUGCAGGGUAUAGACCCGAAACCCGGUGAUCUAGCCAUGGGCAGGUUGAAGGUUGGGUAACACUAACUGGAGGACCGAACCGACUAAUGUUGAAAAAUUAGCGGAUGACUUGUGGCUGGGGGUGAAAGGCCAAUCAAACCGGGAGAUAGCUGGUUCUCCCCGAAAGCUAUUUAGGUAGCGCCUCGUGAAUUCAUCUUCGGGGGUAGAGCACUGUUUCGGCUAGGGGGUCAUCCCGACUUACCAACCCGAUGCAAACUACGAAUACCGAAGAAUGUUAUCACGGGAGACACACGGCGGGUGCUAACGUCCGUCGUGAAGAGGGAAACAACCCAGACCGCCAGCUAAGGUCCCAAAGUCAUGGUUAAGUGGGAAACGAUGUGGGAAGGCACAGACAGCCAGGAUGUUGGCUUAGAAGCAGCCAUCAUUUAAAGAAAGCGUAAUAGCUCACUGGUCGAGUCGGCCUGCGCGGAAGAUGUAACGGGGCUAAACCAUGCACCGAAGCUGCGGCAGCGACACUAUGUGUUGUUGGGUAGGGGAGCGUUCUGUAAGCCUGCGAAGGUGACCUGUGAGGGUUGCUGGAGGUAUCAGAAGUGCGAAUGCUGACAUAAGUAACGAUAAAGCGGGUGAAAAGCCCGCUCGCCGGAAGACCAAGGGUUCCUGUCCAACGUUAAUCGGGGCAGGGUGAGUCGACCCCUAAGGCGAGGCCGAAAGGCGUAGUCGAUGGGAAACAGGUUAAUAUUCCUGUACUUGGUGUUACUGCGAAGGGGGGACGGAGAAGGCUAUGUUAGCCGGGCGACGGUUGUCCCGGUUUAAGCAUGUAGGCUGGUUAUCCAGGCAAAUCCGGAUAAUCAAGGCUGAGGUGUGAUGACGAGGCACUACGGUGCUGAAGUAACAAAUGCCCUGCUUCCAGGAAAAGCCUCUAAGCAUCAGGUAACAUCAAAUCGUACCCCAAACCGACACAGGUGGUCAGGUAGAGAAUACCAAGGCGCUUGAGAGAACUCGGGUGAAGGAACUAGGCAAAAUGGUGCCGUAACUUCGGGAGAAGGCACGCUGGUGUGUAGGUGAAGCCCCUGCGGGUGGAGCUGAGACCAGUCGAAGAUACCAGCUGGCUGCAACUGUUUAUUAAAAACACAGCACUGUGCAAACACGAAAGUGGACGUAUACGGUGUGACGCCUGCCCGGUGCCGGAAGGUUAAUUGAUGGGGUUAUCCGUAAGGAGAAGCUCUUGAUCGAAGCCCCGGUAAACGGCGGCCGUAACUAUAACGGUCCUAAGGUAGCGAAAUUCCUUGUCGGGUAAGUUCCGACCUGCACGAAUGGCGUAAUGAUGGCCAGGCUGUCUCCACCCGAGACUCAGUGAAAUUGAACUCGCUGUGAAGAUGCAGUGUACCCGCGGCAAGACGGAAAGACCCCGUGAACCUUUACUAUAGCUUGACACUGAACAUUGAGCCUUGAUGUGUAGGAUAGGUGGGAGGCUUUGAAGCGUGGACGCCAGUCUGCGUGGAGCCAACCUUGAAAUACCACCCUUUAAUGUUUGAUGUUCUAACGUUGGCCCCUGACCGGGGUUGCGGACAGUGUCUGGUGGGUAGUUUGACUGGGGCGGUCUCCUCCCAAAGCGUAACGGAGGAGCACGAAGGUUAGCUAAUCCUGGUCGGACAUCAGGAGGUUAGUGCAAUGGCAUAAGCUAGCUUGACUGCGAGCGUGACGGCGCGAGCAGGUGCGAAAGCAGGUCAUAGUGAUCCGGUGGUUCUGAAUGGAAGGGCCAUCGCUCAACGGAUAAAAGGUACUCCGGGGAUAACAGGCUGAUACCGCCCAAGAGUUCAUAUCGACGGCGGUGUUUGGCACCUCGAUGUCGGCUCAUCACAUCCUGGGGCUGAAGUAGGUCCCAAGGGUAUGGCUGUUCGCCAUUUAAAGUGGUACGCGAGCUGGGUUUAGAACGUCGUGAGACAGUUCGGUCCCUAUCUGCCGUGGGCGCUGGAGAAUUGAGGGGGGCUGCUCCUAGUACGAGAGGACCGGAGUGGACGCAUCACUGGUGUUCGGGUUGUCAUGCCAAUGGCACUGCCCGGUAGCUAAAUGCGGAAGAGAUAAGUGCUGAAAGCAUCUAAGCACGAAACUUGCCCCGAGAUGAGUUCUCCCUGAGACUUUAAGUCUCCUGAAGGAACGUUGAAGACGACGACGUUGAUAGGCCGGGUGUGUAAGCGCAGCGAUGCGUUGAGCUAACCGGUACUAAUGAACCGUGAGGCUUAACCUUACAACGCCGAAG